RNAcentral lists this transfer RNA (68 nucleotides) under Marmota monax (woodchuck). RNAcentral describes it as "tRNA.Ala". Lineage: Eukaryota; Metazoa; Chordata; Mammalia; Rodentia; Sciuridae. The record is from RNAcentral.
GGACUGUAGCUCAGUGGUAGAGAGCUUGCCUAGCAUGUGUGAGGCACUGGGUUUGAUUCUCAGCACCA